ACGAGUGGCGGACGGGUGAGUAAUGUCUGGGAAACUGCCCGAUGGAGGGGGAUAACUACUGGAAACGGUAGCUAAUACCGCAUAACGUCGCAAGACCAAAGAGGGGGACCUUAGGGCCUCUUGCCAUCGGAUGUGCCCAGAUGGGAUUAGCUAGUAGGUGGGGUAACGGCUCACCUAGGCGACGAUCCCUAGCUGGUCUGAGAGGACGACCAGCCACACUGGAACUGAGACACGGUCCAG
RNAcentral lists this ribosomal RNA (240 nucleotides) under uncultured bacterium. RNAcentral describes it as "partial 16S ribosomal RNA". It matches the Rfam family "Bacterial small subunit ribosomal RNA", at positions 91 to 334 of the family's 1533-position model. The record is from RNAcentral.